AAUUAAUAAUUUGCAAUUACAGUGGAACCCCGAUUAUCCGUGCUCCUCGGGACCGUGUGGCGUUCCGCCCCUUAUAGAAUCAAGUAUUGUUGGGAAGAUAAUAUUUAAUCAUUGAAAAUAUUAUUUAAAUAUUUUCGGGAUUAAUUUCUUUCAAUGUUUAUUAAGAUACAACGUAAAGCAAAAACAUAAUUGUUAAAUGCUUACUGAUGUCACAUUUAAACGUGGCAACCUUGGUUCCCUCGCGUUGACAGUUAAUGAUUAGGAGAGGGGUACGAAGAACUUCAGCUGGUAACUGAAGGCCGUGAACGGGUCAUUGUUCUCCAGUGUACGGUCUAGGUAGCGGGGUCGUUUGAACGAAAUUAUUCACCUAUAAUUCAAAGUUCCAAAUGUAUUAAAGAUUACCAUAAAUACUAUAGUGAAGUUAUCCAGCAGUGAACAGUGAAGUUGAAGAAUUUUGGAGAAUAUUAUAUACAAUGAGUUCCGCCCCGCACCUACCAUGAAAUCUUAAGGUCACCUAACAACCACACCAAGGCCAGACCACACUGAGAGAAACAAUCACUAGGCGACCAGCCUGGAUUAUUUCCACACAUUUUCGUUUGAGUACCUCCAGCUGCUUUCCACCAGUCUUGAGUACCUUCAGCUGCUUUCUACCAGUCUUCCUCUCCUGUACCUCCAGCAGGACAGCUGCUAGCGAGAGUUAGCACCCUUGGGUGCUCAUUACAUCAACUCGAAGAUUGUGUAAAAGGGGUUUGUUUGGGAACAGUUACUGUGCUAUUAGUAAAGACAGACUGUUUUUGUGAUAUUUAGUACAUUUUUAUAGUUCGAUUGCACACACAUUUUUCUUGUUUUAUAUUUUAUGGUAUUUUUUCCUUAACAACAUAAUAUUUAAUUAAUAGCGUUCCCCAAUACUCUGCAAUAUCUAAGGUAAAGAUCUCUGAGCUCAGAUAUUUUCCCCUACAAUAGUAGUCGGUACUCCUAUUUUGAUUAUUUUUAUGCUGGUUUCCAUUUUUAUAUAAUUAUUUAAACUCAUUUCAUUAUUUUAGUAUAGGUUGAAUUAGAUUUUUCAAAAUUAACUUCAGACAUUAUUCAAAAUUUCAAUUAUUAACUUUAUUUUAACUUUAACUCAUUAAAUUCCUAUAAACUUCUGGACUCGAUUCCCUCAGAAUCGUUUCUGGUUUCACUUGCUAUUAUUAUUAUAAACUACGAGUUAGAAAAGAAUGUGGCGUUCCGCCCCUUAUAGAAUCAAGUAUUGUUGGGAAGAUAAUAUUUAAUCAUUGAAAAUAUUAUUUAAAUAUUUUCGGGAUUAAUUUCUUUCAAUGUUUAUUAAGAUACAACGUAAAGCAAAAACAUAAUUGUUAAAUGCUUACUGAUGUCACAUUUAAACGUGGCAACCUUGGUUCCCUCGCGUUGACAGUUAAUGAUUAGGAGAGGGGUACGAAGAACUUCAGCUGGUAACUGAAGGCCGUGAACGGGUCAUUGUUCUCCAGUGUACGGUCUAGGUAGCGGGGUCGUUUGAACGAAAUUAUUCACCUAUAAUUCAAAGUUCCAAAUGUAUUAAAGAUUACCAUAAAUACUAUAGUGAAGUUAUCCAGCAGUGAACAGUGAAGUUGAAGAAUUUUGGAGAAUAUUAUAUACAAUGAGUUCCGCCCCGGUAAAUACACAUUUAUUAAUUAUUUUAUUCAGCCAUUUUGGAAGUCCUUGACAUUUGCUAAUUAAGUUUCACAUAGUCUGUUUUCAUGGUUUUUAUGGUUUAUUUUCAUGGAUCAAACUCAUCUAGAGAUAAUUGAAUGUUCGUUGUUAAUUUGUGCUUCCAGUUGAAAAAUAGAGCUAAUUUAAACUCAAUUUUUUAUAUUCCUUUCAAGUCUACGGAUCUCCUAUAAGUAUCCAUUGCCUAGUCAUACUAUAUUUUAUCCUUGUAUAAUAUAUCUGUAGACCUGUGUAUAUAUUAUAAUAAAAUAUUGUUCCACAGUAAUUAUAUUUUGUAUUUAAAUUGGAAAUUACAUGUGUUAUUUGACCAAGGUCAUCUGAUAACAACUUGAUAAAAGGUCAAGCUGUCUAGUCAUUCAAGUUUUUGGACUUAAUGACCUAUUUCUUCUUAUUCCCAUAGGAAUAAAAACACUUCCUCGUAUCUCUUGCUUCUUUUUUUUGACAUUGGGAGAUUGGUAGUAACACCACACUGUGUUUUUUUUAGCACCUACCAUGAAAUCUUAAGGUCACCUAACAACCACACCAAGGCCAGACCACACUGAGAGAAACAAUCACUAGGCGACCAGCCUGGAUUAUUUCCACACAUUUUCGUUUGAGUACCUCCAGCUGCUUUCCACCAGUCUUGAGUACCUUCAGCUGCUUUCUACCAGUCUUCCUCUCCUGUACCUCCAGCAGGACAGCUGCUAGCGAGAGUUAGCACCCUUGGGUGCUCAUUACAUCAACUCGAAGAUUGUGUAAAAGGGGUUUGUUUGGGAACAGUUACUGUGCUAUUAGUAAAGACAGACUGUUUUUGUGAUAUUUAGUACAUUUUUAUAGUUCGAUUGCACACACAUUUUUCUUGUUUUAUAUUUUAUGGUAUUUUUUCCUUAACAACAUAAUAUUUAAUUAAUAGCGUUCCCCAAUACUCUGCAAUAUCUAAGGUAAAGAUCUCUGAGCUCAGAUAUUUUCCCCUACAAUAGUAGUCGGUACUCCUAUUUUGAUUAUUUUUAUGCUGGUUUCCAUUUUUAUAUAAUUAUUUAAACUCAUUUCAUUAUUUUAGUAUAGGUUGAAUUAGAUUUUUCAAAAUUAACUUCAGACAUUAUUCAAAAUUUCAAUUAUUAACUUUAUUUUAACUUUAACUCAUUAAAUUCCUAUAAACUUCUGGACUCGAUUCCCUCAGAAUCGUUUCUGGUUUCACUUGCUAUUAUUAUUAUAAACUACGAGUUAGAAAAGGAUCUGUUGUAUCCAACCGUAAGUUUAUUUAUUCGAUAAAGGCUUGUGCCUGUCCAACUCACAUUGAGUUAUUUAUAUAUUAUUUACCAUAUCAGGUAGUAUUUAAUUAAGGUGUACGUAUUAUAAACGUACAAUUAUUAGUUGGUGAAGGUUCUACUAACCUAGGUGUAAGUUGUACUUUCUGUAUUAGAGGUACCCUUCUUCAGAUUUUCUAACCUUAUUAAGAUUAUUCUUAGAUCACAUUUGUGUGAUAAUUUUGUAAUUGACUUUCACUAGUAUCAUUUUUUUUGUCAUUUUAGAGUCACAAACUAGUUACUUGUCUUAACUCGGAGAUUGUGAACAUCUAGUAGUUAAAUUUAAUAAAUUUAUAUUUAUUGUG
Molecule: long non-coding RNA, 3298 nt
Organism: Diabrotica virgifera virgifera (western corn rootworm)
Lineage: Eukaryota; Metazoa; Arthropoda; Insecta; Coleoptera; Chrysomelidae
Exons: 2
Source: RefSeq, a predicted model, not a curated record